This 72-nucleotide transfer RNA is filed under the name Stegodyphus mimosarum. It matches the Rfam family "tRNA". Rfam says of the family: Transfer RNA (tRNA) molecules are approximately 80 nucleotides in length. Their secondary structure includes four short double-helical elements and three loops (D, anti-codon, and T loops). The record is from Rfam by way of RNAcentral. Lineage: Eukaryota; Metazoa; Arthropoda; Arachnida; Araneae; Eresidae.
GCCUUCGUGGUGUAGUGGUCAGCACGCUCGACGCGUAUUCGAGAGGUCGUGAUUAGAAUCCCGGCGAGGGCA